This 253-nucleotide ribosomal RNA is filed under the name uncultured bacterium. Its description in RNAcentral is "partial 16S ribosomal RNA". It matches the Rfam family "Bacterial small subunit ribosomal RNA", at positions 524 to 776 of the family's 1533-position model. The record is from RNAcentral.
UACGGAGGGGGCAAACGUUGCUCGGAAUUAUUGGGCGUAAAGCGCACGUAGGCGGUCUUGUAAGUUGGAUGUGAAAGACCUUGGCUUAACCAAGGAAGUGCUUUCAAAACUGCUUGGCUUGAGUACCGGAGAGGUUCGCGGAAUUCUCGGUGUAGCGGUGAAAUUCGUAGAUAUCGGGAGGAACACCAGUGGCGAAGGCGGCGACCUGGACGGAUACUGACGCUGAGGUGCGAAAGCGUGGGGAGCAAACAGG